CAUAAGCGUGUUGCUCCAACUGAAGCCCUACCUGCAUAGUAGUUGAACAGUACGCCAAGGUUCAGUCAGGCAAUAGAUCAAAUGCAGCAAAUUUCAUUAUCAA
Molecule: long non-coding RNA, 103 nt
Organism: Ipomoea nil (Japanese morning glory)
Lineage: Eukaryota; Viridiplantae; Streptophyta; Magnoliopsida; Solanales; Convolvulaceae
Exons: 3
Source: RefSeq, a predicted model, not a curated record